CCUACGGGUGGCUGCAGUGAGGAAUAUUGGUCAAUGGGCGCGAGCCUGAACCAGCCAAGUAGCGUGAAGGAUGACUGCCCUACGGGUUGUAAACCUCUUUUAUAAAGGAAUAAUAUGAGGCACGUGUGCCUUUUUGUAUGUACUUUAUGAAUAAGCAUCGGCUAACUCCGUGCCAGCAGCCGCGGUAAUACGGAGGAUCCGAGCGUUAUCCGGAUUUAUUGGGUUUAAAGGGAGCGUAGAUGGGUUGUUAAGUCAGUUGUGAAAGUUGGCGGCUUAAACGUAAAAUUGCAAUUGAUACUGGCAGCCUUGAGUACAGUCGAGGUAGGCGGAAUACGUGGUGUAGCGGUGAAAUGCUUAGAUAUUACGAAGAACUCCGAUUGCGAAGGCAGCCUACUAGACUGCCACUGACAUUGAUGCUCGAGAGUGUGGGUAUCGAACAGGAUUAGAUACCCCAGUAGUC
This 460-nucleotide ribosomal RNA is filed under the name uncultured bacterium. Its description in RNAcentral is "partial 16S ribosomal RNA". It matches the Rfam family "Bacterial small subunit ribosomal RNA", at positions 338 to 795 of the family's 1533-position model. The record is from RNAcentral.